This 253-nucleotide ribosomal RNA is filed under the name uncultured bacterium. Its description in RNAcentral is "partial 16S ribosomal RNA". It matches the Rfam family "Bacterial small subunit ribosomal RNA", at positions 524 to 776 of the family's 1533-position model. The record is from RNAcentral.
UACAGAGGGUGCAAGCGUUAAUCGGAUUUACUGGGCGUAAAGGGCGCGUAGGCGGUUGUAUGAGUGUGAUGUGAAAGCCCCGGGCUUAACCUGGGAAGCGCAUCGCAAACGAAAUAACUGGAGUAUAUGAGAGGGUGGUGGAAUUUCCGGUGUAGCGGUGAAAUGCGUAGAGAUCGGGAGGAACACCAGUGGCGAAGGCGGCACCCUGGACCAGCACUGACACUGAGGCACGAAAGCGUGGGGAGCAAACAGG